GAUAAACGCUAGCGGUGCGCCUAACACAUGCAAGUCGAGCGAUCGAACUGGACUGAUCACCCUUCGGGGUGAGAGGACCAGUGACGGAGCGGCGGACUGGUGAGUAACGCGUAGCCAACCUACCCCCUUGACGGAGAUAACUACCUGAAAGGUAGCUAAUACCCGAUAUUGCUCGAGAUCGAAAGAUCUUGAGCCAAAGGCGGUCUUGCCGUCGCAAGAGGAGGGGGCUGCGUCCUAUUAGCUUGUUGGUGGGGUAAUAGCCCACCAAGGCGAUGAUGGGUAGCUGGUCUGAGAGGAUGGCCAGCCACAUUGGGACUGAGAUACGGCCCAGACUUCUACGGGAGGCAGCAGUGGGGAAUCUUUCGCAAUGGGCGAAAGCCUGACGGAGCGACACCGCGUGGGGGAUGAAGGCUUUCGGGUUGUAAACCUCUUUUCUGGGGGAAGAAUAAGGGCGGGAGGAAAUGCCCGUCCGAUGACGGUACCCCAGGAAUAAGCAUCGGCUAACUUCGUGCCAGCAGCCGCGGUAAGACGAAGGAUGCAAGCGUUAUCCGGAAUUACUGGGCGUAAAGGGCGCCUAGGCGGCUGAGUAAGUCACCCGUGAAAGCCCUCAGCUCAACUGAGGAAUGUCGAGUGAAACUGCUCAGCUUGGGUGCAGGAGAGGAGGGUGGAACUCACAGAGUAGCGGUGGAAUGCGUAGAUACUGUGAGGUACCCCGAUGGCGAAGGCAACCCUCUGGCUGCUACUGACGCUGAAGCGCGAAAGCGUGGGGAGCAAAGGGGAUUAGAUACCCCCGUAGUCCACGCCGCAAACGAUGUUCACUGGGUGUCGGUCGCUAAUACAGAUCGGUGCCGGAGCUAACGCGUUAAGUGAACCGCCUGGGGAGUACGGCCGCAAGGCUAAAACUCAAGAGAAUUGACGGGGCCCCGCACAAGCGGUGGAGCACGUGGUUUAAUUCGAUGAUAAGCGAAGAACCUCACCUGGGUUUGACAUGCUAGUGGUAGGAACCGGAAACGGGGACGACCCUUGCCUUCGGGUAAGGGAGCUAGUACAGGUGAUGCAUGGCUGUCGUCAGUUCGUGUCGUGGGACGUUGGGUUAAGUCCCGAAACGAGCGCAACCCCUGUCGUCAGUUGCCAGCGGGUAAAGCCGGGGACUCUGACGAGACUGCCGGUGAAUAGCCGGAGGAAGGAGGGGAUGACGUCAAGUCAUCAUGUCCCUUAUGCCCAGGGCGACACACAUGCUACAAUGGGGGGUACAAAGGGCUGCAAUGCCGUAAGGCUGAGCCAAUCCCAAAAAACCUUCCUCAGUUCGGAUUGAGGUCUGUAACUCGACCUCAUGAAGCCGGAAUCGCUAGUAAUCGCAGGUCAGCCACACUGCGGUGAAUAUGUACUCGGGGCUUGUACACACCGCCCGUCACACCAACCGAGUGGGGGGUACUUGAAGUCGCUCUUUAUGGAGCGCCGAGGGUA
RNAcentral lists this ribosomal RNA (1467 nucleotides) under uncultured bacterium. Its description in RNAcentral is "16S ribosomal RNA". It matches the Rfam family "Bacterial small subunit ribosomal RNA". The record is from RNAcentral.